UACGAAGGGGGCUAGCGUUGUUCGGAUUUACUGGGCGUAAAGCGCACGUAGGCGGCUUGUUAAGUCAGGGGUGAAAUCCCAGAGCUCAACUCUGGAACUGCCUUUGAUACUGGCAAUCUCGAGUCCGGAAGAGGUGAGUGGAACUCCUAGUGUAGAGGUGGAAUUCGUAGAUAUUAGGAAGAACACCAGUGGCGAAGGCGGCUCACUGGUCCGGAACUGACGCUGAGGUGCGAAAGCGUGGGGAGCAAACAGG
This 253-nucleotide ribosomal RNA is filed under the name uncultured bacterium. RNAcentral describes it as "partial 16S ribosomal RNA". It matches the Rfam family "Bacterial small subunit ribosomal RNA", at positions 524 to 776 of the family's 1533-position model. The record is from RNAcentral.